This 255-nucleotide ribosomal RNA is filed under the name uncultured bacterium. RNAcentral's name for it is "partial 16S ribosomal RNA". It matches the Rfam family "Bacterial small subunit ribosomal RNA", at positions 524 to 777 of the family's 1533-position model. The record is from RNAcentral.
UACGUAGGGGCCAAGCGUUGUCCGGAUUUAUUGGGCGUAAAGGGCGCGUAGGCGGCCUGGCAAGUGGAAGGUGAAAUCCCUCGGCUUAACCGAGGAACUGCCCUCCAAACUGCUUGGCUUGAGACCGGGAGAGGUGAGUGGAAUUCCCAGUGUAGCGGUGAAAUGCGUAGAUAUUGGGAGGAACACCAGUGGCGAAGGCGGCUCACUGGACCGGUACUGACGCUGAGGCGCGAAAGCGGUGGGGAGCAAACAGGG